UCCGGGUGCAAAAGUUCCUCGAGUCAGCCUC
Molecule: non-coding RNA, 31 nt
Filed under: Homo sapiens (human)
Lineage: Eukaryota; Metazoa; Chordata; Mammalia; Primates; Hominidae
Source: RNAcentral